Molecule: non-coding RNA, 2517 nt
Organism: Vicugna pacos (alpaca)
Lineage: Eukaryota; Metazoa; Chordata; Mammalia; Artiodactyla; Camelidae
Source: RefSeq, a predicted model, not a curated record
GAUCUUGUAUAUAUUUCCCUGUCUGUUUUUUUUUUUUAAAUGGAGCAUCUCUGUUAUCUAUAGGACAAGAAAAAAAAAAGAAAUGGAAGAUGCUGUGUAUUUUAAUGACUGUUGAUUUGGCCUAGGGUCUGGUGGGGUAGUGGCUCCAAACUAACAUGUUGGUAAAUUCUGUUUUCCACGGAUUAUCUUCACUGAAAAUUCUCUUAGUGACAUAAUAUAAGACAAUGGACCUUUCAUCCAUGAGAAUCUCGUGUUUUCAAGCUACACAUAGAAUUGUUGUAUAUGAUAAAAUCCAUAGUUGACUUAGUGAAAGGAGUAUUUUGAAAACAAAACAAGACACCGUGGAAAAGUGGUGUUUUCUGUUCUGAGGUGUCAGGAAUUUCAUACAAGAGGCUAGUGUGGGAUUUAUUUUUUCUGUAUACAAUAAUAUUUUGCAUGCAUUUCUUCCUCCUUCCUUCCAGCACAUACUAACCUUACCAUUGCCAGUAUUUCUCAUCAGGGAGUUAACAUGCAGGCUGGGUAUUAGGAAGUAAUUAGGUUUCUUUAUGUAUUCUUAAUUAAUUUUUUAUUUUAUUUUUUAGUGUAGGUACUGGAGAUUGAACCCAGGACCUUGAGCAUGCUAAGCUGUACCCUUCCCCCAGCUAUUAGGAGGAAGGCAGGCGGUGCAGAUCCUGGCUCUGGUGGGAACACGGACCAGGCGAGAGGCAGGCUGAGUGUGAGUGAUGCCCAUUCUGAAGGCGCUGCCUCCGCCCUUCUCUCCCGUGGCUGCCAGGCGGAAGUGCGGGCCCAGACUUGCUUGGUCGCCCGGUUUCUGAGGGUAGCUGGCUAUCAGCAUCUUCAUGUGAAGUCUUUUGAGUCUUCUGAGUUUUUAAUAUUGGCAACCCAUUCAGAUUAAAAAAAAGCAAACACCAUGAAGACCUAAUAAAUUGCUUCAGUAGCCCAGAUUCAGCCCAUGAGGUGCCACUUUUCAACCCAGUAUUAUGAAAAGUUGAUUCAUUUCAUGGAGCACAAAAUCUCAUGUCUGUCUUUCUGAAAAGUGACUGAGUAGGUAACGUACCAGUCAGAAAUGUCCAAGUGGGAGGAGGGGCAGCAGCUUGUGCACAGGCAUCAUCCUACCCAGAAAUGCCUUAGGAGAGCCAUCUCCUCCCACCUAAAAUCACCUAAAAUCAUGUCACAGCCAUAGGUCGUCUCAGCUGUGCUGUAAGCACUUUAUUUCCACUAACUUUGGCACUGAUUACUAAGUUUGAAGAUUAAUACCAGAGAAUUGCAUAAAUGUCAGUUUCCUGAUGGUUGGUUUCAUUUAUUUAUUAAAACUUCAUUCUCUGUAAUACAAACUACCCCAGAGUAGGCCUCAUUUUUAUAGGUUCUGCCAGAAUCGGUCAUGCCAUUAGUGAAAGCUGGCCUUUGUUGUUUCAAAUGCUUAAAACACCAUGGAAAUUAUUAACUCCAAGAGCCUCAGAGGGGCCCUGGCAGCAGGCCACAGCUCCUUCCUUCCUUCGACUCUUGUGUUUAGACCAUUAAAGCAGGAAUUUAAUUAAUUUUUUGAUGAAGCAAAAUCAUUACAGAUAAUAUUCAGGUAGGUUGUAAAGUGAGAAAGGGCUCUUUACUGAAACUUGCCCUAUUUAAGAUCAGAAAGUUGAAGGGAUUAGCACCAAGGGGUGGGAUUUUUCAGGUUCGGAUCAGAUUUGAAUCUGCCCCCAAAUGGUAAUUGACGCCAGAGUCAUCAUUUUGAGAAGGCUGGUUGGGCCUUUGGAAUUAGUCACUGUUGUCAGGCAGGAAGGUGAUUCCAUUUCACAGUAAUUGAAGAUCGGAUAGGAUUCUUUCCCACCCCUGGGUCUGGGCCACAGUUGACUAGCUCCUUGUUUUCUUUGCUGAGGAAAUGGAAGACCGAUCAGCGCAACCCUCUUCCAACACGUCAAUUUGGCACCUCAACAGGGUAACAUUAGAAGCUCUGAAUCAACACUUAGCGGGCAAGUGAAACCAGCUAGCAGUCAGUCCAGGGAACUGAGAUAAGCCCUUCCUUAUCUGGUGGCCCUGAUAAAAGCUUCACCUGCGUUUAGUUUGAUGCCUGUGAAGAAGGGCCCUUUGUGGUAGCUUUUUUGGAAGCCCGCAGUUUUUCUCUGCUCCAGACACUUGCCAAAUAAAAUUUUAUUUAUUUACUUUUCAAUGGCAUGGAGGGAUGCCUCUUUAACCUCUUCUGUUAUCUUCUUUAAAAGGAAGUUUAGCAUCCUGUGAAGAGAGAGCUGGAAUGAGAUUAUCUGGGAUGUUUCCCUGCUUCUCCGCCUACUUACCUUGUGCCCUUUAGGCAAGUAAAGUCCUCUCAGGGAUGGAGUUACUGGGACAUGGCCUACUCUGUGUAUAACGUUUUAAGGAACUAACCAAAUGGCUCUACAAAGUAGAUGUGCAGUUUUACAGCUUCACCAGCAGUUUAUGAAGGUUCCAGUUUCUCAACAUCCUUCUCAACACUGAUUCCACAUAUGAGUGAUGUUACGUGGUAUUUUUCUUUCUCUUUCUGGC